AAAUUGAAGAGUUUGAUCAUGGCUCAGAUUGAACGCUGGCGGCAGGCCUAACACAUGCAAGUCGAACGGUAGCACAGAGAGCUUGCUCUCGGGUGACGAGUGGCGGACGGGUGAGUAAUGUCUGGGAAACUGCCUGAUGGAGGGGGAUAACUACUGGAAACGGUGGCUAAUACCGCAUAACGUCGCAAGACCAAAGAGGGGGACCUUCGGGCCUCUUGCCAUCAGAUGUGCCCAGAUGGGAUUAGCUGGUUGGUGAGGUAACGGCUCACCAAGGCGACGAUCCCUAGCUGGUCUGAGAGGAUGACCAGCCACACUGGAACUGAGACACGGUCCAGACUCC
Molecule: ribosomal RNA, 340 nt
Filed under: Salmonella enterica
Lineage: Bacteria; Pseudomonadati; Pseudomonadota; Gammaproteobacteria; Enterobacterales; Enterobacteriaceae
Also listed under: 1 other name
Description: bacterial SSU rRNA
Rfam family: Bacterial small subunit ribosomal RNA
Source: RNAcentral